GUGCUUGCUUUGGCAACACAUAUACAACAAUUUGAACACUACAGAGAUUAGCCUUGCCUCUGCGCAAGGAUGACACACAAAUUCGUGAAGCCUUCUAUUAAAAA
This is a small nuclear RNA of Aotus nancymaae (Ma's night monkey), 104 nucleotides long. NCBI's taxonomy places the organism in Eukaryota, Metazoa, Chordata, Mammalia, Primates, Aotidae. The record is from Ensembl.